ACUGACCUGCCCCACUACUAAUUGAGAGUCACUGUAGGCCUGAAGCUAAUCUACUUCUAACUCUUUGGCGAUCCUCAGUCCUGUAAUCAAAGCUUCAUAUUCUGCUCCGUUAUUUAUCGUAGGAAAUUCGAAGCGCAGCGCAUACUCUGCGAUAAUUCCAUCUAGAUUGAUCAAGAUCAGGUCCGCACCUGCGCUUGACAUGUUGGAGGAACCGUCCACAUAGAGGGUCCAAAAACCAUCAGGGAGAUCUAUUCUUUCUUCAAGGGAGUUCGGUUGGAGCCCUGGAUUGUCGGCUUCAUCUCGUCCAAGUUUGGCCACUUCCAGGAUAGUGCAUUCCACUAUGAAGUUUGCUAAUAUCUAGGUUU
Molecule: long non-coding RNA, 365 nt
Filed under: Elaeis guineensis (African oil palm)
Lineage: Eukaryota; Viridiplantae; Streptophyta; Magnoliopsida; Arecales; Arecaceae
Description: long non-coding RNA (EGUI_LNC053678)
Source: RNAcentral